This 849-nucleotide ribosomal RNA is filed under the name Parocyusa rubicunda. RNAcentral describes it as "bacterial SSU rRNA". It matches the Rfam family "Eukaryotic small subunit ribosomal RNA", at positions 455 to 1225 of the family's 1831-position model. Lineage: Eukaryota; Metazoa; Arthropoda; Insecta; Coleoptera; Staphylinidae. The record is from RNAcentral.
CACGGGGAGGUAGUGACGAAAAAUAACGAUACGGGACUCAUCCGAGGCCCCGUAAUCGGAAUGAGUAAACUCUAAAUCCUUUUGCAAGGACCCAUUGGAGGGCAAGUCUGGUGCCAGCAGCCGCGGUAAUUCCAGCUCCAAUAGCGUAUAUUAAAGUUGUUGCGGUUAAAAAGCUCGUAGUCGAAUCUGUGUCUCGCGCCGCUGGUUCAUCGCUCGCGGUGUUAACUGGCGUGUCUCGCGAGACGUCCUGUCGGUGGGCCUUCGAAAUAAUGCGCUUCGGCGGUUGUUCGGGGGCCCAACUCGUAUCCGCUUUGUGCGGGUGCGAAUCCUAUCGCGGUGCUCUUUAUUGAGUGUCGAGGUGGGCCGGCACGUUUACUUUGAACAAAUUAGAGUGCUUAAAGCAGGCCAAUUUUGCCUGAAUAUUCUGUGCAUGGAAUAAUAGAAUAGGACCUCGGUUCUAUUUUGUUGGUUUUCGGAACCCCGAGGUAAUGAUUAAUAGGAACGGAUGGGGGCAUUCGUAUUGCGACGUUAGAGGUGAAAUUCUUGGAUCGUCGCAAGACGGACAGAAGCGAAAGCAUUUGCCAAAAACGUUUUCAUUGAUCAAGAACGAAAGUUAGAGGUUCGAAGGCGAUCAGAUACCGCCCUAGUUCUAACCAUAAACGAUGCCAGCUAGCGAUCCGCCGACGUUCCUCCGAUGACUCGGCGGGCAGCUUCCGGGAAACCAAAGCUUUUGGGUUCCGGGGGAAGUAUGGUUGCAAAGCUGAAACUUAAAGGAAUUGACGGAAGGGCACCACCAGGAGUGGAGCCUGCGGCUUAAUUUGACUCAACACGGGAAAACCUAUCAGGCCC